This 378-nucleotide ribosomal RNA is filed under the name uncultured archaeon. RNAcentral's name for it is "bacterial SSU rRNA". It matches the Rfam family "Archaeal small subunit ribosomal RNA", at positions 691 to 1071 of the family's 1478-position model. The record is from RNAcentral.
CCGACGGUGAGAGACGAAAGCUGGGGAGCAAACCGGAUUAGAUACCCGGGUAGUCCCAGCCGUAAACGAUGUGCGUUAGGUGUAUCGGUGACCACGAGUCACCGAGGUGCCGAAGAGAAAUCGUGAAACGUACCGCCUGGGAAGUACGGUCGCAAGGCUGAAACUUAAAGGAAUUGGCGGGGAGCACCACAACAGGUGGAGCCUGCGGUUUAAUCGGACUCAACGCCGGGAAACUCACCAGAUAAGACAGCUGAAUGAUAGUCGGGCUGAAGACUCUACUUGACUAGCUGAGAGGAGGUGCAUGGCCGUCGUCAGUUCGUACUGUGAAGCAUCCUGUUAAGUCAGGCAACGAGCGAGACCCACGCAACAGUUGCUAGC